CGCCAAGCACUACUACAACCACACUCAGCCGACUAUCACACAGACGGAACCCGCGCAUUAUAACGUCAAUGUAUUCUUUGUAAGUGCUACGUUGUGCGGCGUGCUGGUUGCGGUGUGCGCGGCGUGCUGGAGACGCGCGCCUUCAGAUAAGCCUGAAGAUGCACGCGACUGUCGCGGCGUCUACACCGUCAGCGCGGACGCCCGAUUACAGGUUCAGGAGGAGCUGCCGGGCCCGCCGCCGGCUUACGAGACCGUCGUCGAGGGCACGACCGAUCAUAAGCCGUGUAACUCGUUACAGGAGGUGAUAACAGAGCCUUGUUCUCGCUGCCAGACAGGUCGCGUCGAUAGCGGCUUACCCUCGUACGAGGCAGCGGUGCUACUUCGCGACACUAAGUUAUAAAAUGCUUUAUAGAUCCUCGGAUCAUGUAUACAUGUAUAAUCGCACAUACUAAUAUAAAUGUAGAAUUGAUACGUGUUUUAGGUUAGAUAAACUAUAUUUAGUAUUGGA
Molecule: long non-coding RNA, 508 nt
Organism: Papilio polytes (common Mormon)
Lineage: Eukaryota; Metazoa; Arthropoda; Insecta; Lepidoptera; Papilionidae
Exons: 4
Source: RefSeq, a predicted model, not a curated record